GACCUCAAAUCAGGUAGGACUACCCGCUGAACUUAAGCGUAUA
RNAcentral lists this ribosomal RNA (43 nucleotides) under Butyriboletus abieticola. RNAcentral's name for it is "partial 28S ribosomal RNA". Lineage: Eukaryota; Fungi; Basidiomycota; Agaricomycetes; Boletales; Boletaceae. The record is from RNAcentral.